This 1003-nucleotide long non-coding RNA is filed under the name Homo sapiens (human). RNAcentral describes it as "HSALNT0116042". Lineage: Eukaryota; Metazoa; Chordata; Mammalia; Primates; Hominidae. The record is from RNAcentral.
CUGGUCUGCAGCUUGCUUUUUCAAAUUAACUUCUUUCCAUUUCAGCACACAGGGGUCUGACUGGUUUGAGCAGCUGCAUAGCAAUGUAUUGAGUGCCAUCAUUGAUUGAACCAUUUCUGCUUUCUGUUCCUAGAGUGUGCUCCCCUUCAUGUGAAUGUCAAUGAUGGGGUUGUUAGUUGGUUCUCCCACCUCAUCCUGUUUGUCACACCCCCCCUUAGUGGUCCAACUCUCCUUGGGGGCAGCCAGUGGGAGCAGUUAGGGCAGCGGGCAGUCCCCUGGCUAGUCACCCAGGGCCUCUGCACCAGGCCCUCUGCACCACCUAGCCCAGACCCUCCUGCCUGCAGCCCAGUAGGAUGGGUGGAUCAGCUUGGAUUUCUGUGUGUCUUGGGUGCUUAUGGCGCUUGGCCCACCACAGAGAGCAGGCUUCUAAAGACUUAACUAAAUAGAAGAUGGCCAUUAAUGUCCUUCCUGAUGUUUUUAUACAAUAUCCUUUACUUUUCAAGGACAGAAAAGGCUUGAACUUUGGAUCAUGUAGUAACCAAAGAUGGAGUCUCGCUCUGUCGCCCAGGACGGAGUGCAAUGGUGCAAUCUCAGCUCACUGCAAGCUUCGCCUCCCAGGUUCACGCCAUUCUCCUGCCUCAGCCUCCUGAGUAGCUGGGACUACAGGCGCCUGCCACCAUGCUCGGCUAAUUUUUUGUAUUUUUAGUAGAGAUGGGGUUUCACCAUAUUGGACAGGCUGGUCUCGAUCUCCUGACCUUGUGAUCUGCCUGCCUCGGCCUCCCAAAGUGCUGGGAUUACAGGUGUGAGCCACUGUGCCCAGCCCCCUUACAUCUUUUCUAAAGUUGUUGGUCUGCAAACUACUGGAACUGGUGGCCAAUGGUUCAGCUAGCACAUUAAAUCUAAAUCUUGCAUUAGGGAACUCAUAUCAAUAAAUUUGACUUGCUCCAACAUUAUGUUCACCCUCCUGGGUCUAGCAUCAUUGCAAUUUAUUUCUAAAUCUCCC